CCUGUCUCUUUUUGCCUCUUUCAUUUUGUAGUCGCAUUUCUCAGAAGGCAAGCUAUCAAUUCUCUUCAUUACAGAAGGGUUUCUCAAUCAAAAUGUCUUCUUUUCUUUAAACUUUAAUUCAAUUUAUAUUCAAGUGGAUCUACAGAGAAAACGGUUCAAUACAUUUCAAAGAACAGCUUCAUAGGCAUCUAAAAGAAGUUCAGAGGAUUGAAACAUAAGAAUUAGUAAAGCUUAAAUCGGUGUUCAUUUUCAUGUAUGAUGGAGUUGAACAAUGAGAUUCAGCCAAAGGAGAAAGGGGAACCACUCCAAUCUGAUUCAGAAGGUGUGGAUAUUCUCUCUGUUUCCACAAAGUCACCAAGGUCCUCCAAAGCUCAUCAUGGAAAGCAUAGCCCUAGAAAGGGGAGUCCAAGCAAACAUGAUAGGCAUUCACAUUCUGGAAGAGAUGGACGUCCGAAAAAAGGUGGCUCUGGUGGAAAAGGAACAUGGGGUGGGUUACUUGAUGCAGAAGAUGCUUAAUCCUUCCUCCAUGGAGCUUCCUUAUACGUGGAGGACCAUAUAAAGAUUGAUCAAAUACAAUUUCCUGUAUAGAGAUUCAUCUUUGUCUCUCAUCCAUUAUUUUAAUAACUUAAUUGGCAUUGCUGGUCAAACAUCCACCUUUGCAGCUCCUUGUUUCUCAGUUUGCCCUUCACUGUGUAGUGAAAAUUGGCUCAUUAAUUUCCUUUUUUUUUUUUUUUUUUUUUUUUCUUGUGGGAGGAACUGGACUCCUUACCUGAGAGAGUAAAUGUCAACUUGAACUUCUGUAUCAAUCCAAAUAUUACAUACACUGGAAAAUUGUGUGAUUGGAUGACA
Macadamia integrifolia is the source of this 849-nucleotide long non-coding RNA. RefSeq lists it as uncharacterized. The record is from RefSeq and is a predicted model, not a curated record. The transcript has 4 exons. Lineage: Eukaryota; Viridiplantae; Streptophyta; Magnoliopsida; Proteales; Proteaceae.